GUAGGUGAACCUGCGGAGGGAUCAUUAACACGUGCCAAAACACGUUUCUAACCAAUCGCCUGUGAACACAAACCCAACUCCCUUCACAUGUGGACGACCGAACAACCAUCAGGGUGGAGUGUGUGGAUGUGGAACAACCGACUCCGAAAGGGGAAGGCUCGACAUCUCGCAACUAUGGCUCGGUCUAGGGCUCCUCGAGAGUCCAAUCCUAUGUGAAGCGAUGCGCGACCACCUGGCAGUGUGCCUUUUCAAUGGGACUGCUAACGCGGCCUGUUGAAGUGGGCAAGCGUUCUGCCGAAUGUUUAACCCCAUAACUUUUAACCCCUUUAACAACAUACUAAUAACUGAACCAUGUUUCGUGCAGCUGCUUGUGUGACUCGUUCACGCAUGUUGGCUCAUGAAUACGAUAUACGUAAUGCUGAACAACUCUUAGCAAUGGAUAUCUUGGUUCUC
RNAcentral lists this unclassified non-coding RNA (453 nucleotides) under rhizosphere metagenome. RNAcentral describes it as "partial ribosomal RNA internal transcribed spacer region". The record is from RNAcentral.